CUGAUGAGAUAAGAGCCACACUUGUAGACCACGUUCUCAAUCACAGGCUUAUAAUGUCCGAGGCUGGUAGAAGGGUGCAGCCAAAUGUUGGGAGAACAACUGUGUCCUCAAUCAUUCAGACUUUUUGUCGACAGAACAGGACUGCAAGACAACUUCACAGGGGUGGCAGAGGGCCCCUUUUCACACCUGAACAGGAGGAGGCUAUUUGCACCAUGGUAGUAGAAAACAAUGCCAUAAGACUAAGUGAGCUAAAGAGUGCCAUUAUAGAGGACAACAACAUCUUUGAAAACAUCCAAACAGUCAGCAUCUCAACCAUUGACAGGGUUGAUGAAAAGACACCAAAAUGAAUAUGAAGCAGCAGUAUACUGUUCCUUUUGAAAGAAAUGGUGAAAGAGUGAAGGAGCUGCGCUACCAGUAUGUACAGACCCAGAGAAAGGCAAAUACAAGGCUCUCGGAAUUCAUCACAGUCUGGACAUGUGGCAUGGUGCAAAAAACCUUGCUAAAAAAAUAGCAGCCGCAGCAAAGAUGAAAGGAUGCUCCAUUCUCCUGAACUGGCUGAAAGAUGUUGUCAACCAUUUUUGGUGGUGUUGCAAGAAAGCUGACACACGUGAACAGUUCAUGAUAUUAUGGGUUGGCAUUCUUCACCAUGUCUGUGAUGUUCACACCUGGACUAUGGGAAGCUGUGAACAUGGUCAACUUGAAACAGAACAAAUACGGGAAAAGAAGCGGAUCCAGAGAGACUCCCAAUGCCACAAAGCCUUAGUGAAUGUAGUUCUGAACAAGAAGUGGCUGAAAAAUGUUGACAAAUAUGUGCGAUUUAGGUAUUGUCAUGACUCUGCUUCAUCAUGUCAUGUCUAUUCUUGGUCUUGUAGCAGAGUCAUGACAAAGCCUUAGGUUUUAUGUGGAGAGAGAGAUUGUUGACCUUUCGGCUUUCCAUACUCUCUCUCUUUGGUCUGCGUCUCUGUUCCCGCCAUCUCGUUUCCUCGUUAACUUUCCCUGAGUGUUUCAUUACCCACACCUGCCCUGUGUCAUUAUCCCUCGUUUGUCUUGCCUUUAUAUUGCCCUCAUGUUUCAUUGUCUCGUUGCUCGUGUAUUGUAUGCAGUGCGUCGUGUUGGUUCUACAUCCGCUUUCUGUGUUUCCCGUGAGUUUCUCGUCUUGUUCCUGCCUGGUCUUGCCUGUUAGUUCUCGUUUUGCCCCCUUGAGGGAUGUUUUUGUGUUUAUCUUUUUAUAUAUAUUCUUAGUUCAGUUUUCCCCAUCGUGGGUGUUUUGUUUUUUACCUUUGUUAUUUGUAAAAUAAAGUAUUUUUGUUAACCCCUUACCCACCGCCUGCCUGCAUUUGGGUUCUUCAGCCUCACGUCCGUGACCGAUCGACUGCAGAUCUAGAAUCUUUCCAGAACCAUAUCCUCAUGUACGCAAGUAAGCGCUACGCUUUUAGCCCCCCAGUUUAUGAGGCAAGGGUUCUGCUUGCUGCAUUAGACUACAACUACCACUGGAACCGACCAACAAUGAAAACGAAAGAGGGCAAAGAGAUUUUCAGAAGAUUGUAUAAGAAAAACGCGAGAAGAUACAGCAUGUAUGCUUUGAAAGGCCAAGAAACCUAUGACUACAUUCCGGAGUUGCAAGGACUGAUUCUGAUGAGCAAACUCACAAGUGGAGUGGGGAUGCCUACAAGGAGUAGCCUUAGAACAGAUGACCUCAGAAGGCUUGGUUUGGUGACCCCCCCGUACCUGCACCAGCCAUAUCUGAAUUGUUGCAGACACAAGUCAGGAGAGGUUUAGGACCAUUAUUCAAUGCAGAACCCGAUGUGGAAGGAUCCACCUAGAAGACUACCUUGCCUUGUCGCAGGAAAGCUGUGAUCCUCUUUUUCCUGUCUUUUUUUACACCCAAAUGUUUUCUGUCAACCCUUGUCUUGUACACAAACUAACAGAGGUGGUCACACACUACGGGUGCCUACUUUACAUUCUUUCUAGACCAAGUCAAGUGCUUUUCCAAAGUUUUUACAUUUCAUACUCGUAUAAUUUGUGUCCAAUUUGUUCAUAUUAUCUACAUUACAGGGUAAAGCCAUUUAUUUAUCAAGAACAAAUAUUUUGAUUCAUAGUGUUACUGUCAUUACAGUUUAUUGUUCCUCUGUUGUAAAUAGUACUACGGCUGUCCCUAUUAUGUAAAUAAAAAAGUAAUCAUACUUGUAAAACUGUAUAAAAUGAAAAUAAAUA
Triplophysa rosa is the source of this 2214-nucleotide long non-coding RNA. RefSeq lists it as uncharacterized. NCBI's taxonomy places the organism in Eukaryota, Metazoa, Chordata, Actinopteri, Cypriniformes, Nemacheilidae. The transcript has 8 exons. The record is from RefSeq and is a predicted model, not a curated record.